Molecule: ribosomal RNA, 821 nt
Filed under: Flavobacterium sasangense
Lineage: Bacteria; Pseudomonadati; Bacteroidota; Flavobacteriia; Flavobacteriales; Flavobacteriaceae
Description: bacterial SSU rRNA
Rfam family: Bacterial small subunit ribosomal RNA
Source: RNAcentral
UCCUUUGAGACCGGCGCACGGGUGCGUAACGCGUAUGCAAUCUACCUUGUACAGGGGAAUAGCCCAGAGAAAUUUGGAUUAAUGCCCCAUAGUAUAUAACCUUCGCAUGUUGGUUAUAUUAAAGUUCCAACGGUACAAGAUGAGCAUGCGUCCCAUUAGUUAGUUGGUAAGGUAACGGCUUACCAAGACGAUGAUGGGUAGGGGUCCUGAGAGGGAGAUCCCCCACACUGGUACUGAGACACGGACCAGACUCCUACGGGAGGCAGCAGUGAGGAAUAUUGGUCAAUGGUCGCAAGACUGAACCAGCCAUGCCGCGUGCAGGAAGACGGUCCUAUGGAUUGUAAACUGCUUUUAUACAGGAAGAAACCCUCCCACGUGUGGGAGCUUGACGGUACUGUAGGAAUAAGGAUCGGCUAACUCCGUGCCAGCAGCCGCGGUAAUACGGAGGAUCCAAGCGUUAUCCGGAAUCAUUGGGUUUAAAGGGUCCGUAGGCGGUCUUAUAAGUCAGUGGUGAAAGCCCAUCGCUCAACGAUGGAACUGCCAUUGAUACUGUAAGACUUGAAUGCUUAGGAAGUAACUAGAAUAUGUAGUGUAGCGGUGAAAUGCUUAGAUAUUACAUGGAAUACCAAUUGCGAAGGCAGGUUACUACUAAGUGAUUGACGCUGAUGGACGAAAGCGUGGGGAGCGAACAGGAUUAGAUACCCUGGUAGUCCACGCCGUAAACGAUGGAUACUAGCUGUUCGGCGCAAGUUGAGUGGCUAAGCGAAAGUGAUAAGUAUCCCACCUGGGGAGUACGCACGCAAGUGUGAAACUCAAAGGAA